GGGGCCGUAGCUCAGUGGCAGAGCGCCCGCCUCGCAAGCGGGAGGCCGCCGGUUCAAAUCCGGCCGGGUCCA
Molecule: transfer RNA, 72 nt
Organism: Halorientalis sp. IM1011
Lineage: Archaea; Methanobacteriati; Methanobacteriota; Halobacteria; Halobacteriales; Haloarculaceae
Rfam family: tRNA
About the family: Transfer RNA (tRNA) molecules are approximately 80 nucleotides in length. Their secondary structure includes four short double-helical elements and three loops (D, anti-codon, and T loops).
Source: Rfam